GUCCAAAUUACAAGCCUCUAUGAAUAUUUUAAACUGAAAACAACAAAUAACAAAAUUGAUAAAAUAAUAAAAGCAUUAAUUUCGUAAAUUUCCCGUUUUUCUUACGUUUUAUCCUGGUUUUUCCCAGAUAUUAUGAAAACCGCUUGGAAAAUCAAAAAAAUUUCUUCCCACGAGUACCAUCUAAACAACAUUCGCUUUCAGAAAUGGUGCCGCGCGUAUAAAUCUGAGCAAAGUUUAUGGCCGAAUUACGUUAUACGUUUAUCUGUACAAUAUUAGUAUAAACUAGGUAUUGUAUUUAAUUCGUGAUUUAAAUUGAUAAUUUAGGACCCAAUGUACGUAAAACAAUCGUUAUGGUUUUUAAUUUGUACACAUUUCUAAAGCCUUUAGACUAAAGGUGUGUGGGGUCUAUGAUCUUAUAGAUCCAUUUUGUUUCGAGUCUGUAAUGCAGAGCGAAUAAAAAAUUUAAAUAUAAAUUAAUCGCCAUUGGAAAACCAACACAGAUUUAGUUGUUAAUUAAAAACUAUAAAAUGAAUGCCCUUUCGGACUAUUCACACUAGAAUUUAGGAACCAUCCGUGUCGUAUUUGAAUCCGGGAUUUCACUGUCCGGGCUCUUAUCGUUCCGGCAAACAUUUACAUUCCGGUUUAUCGCAGUCCGGGUUUUUUCUAUCGUUCCGGAUAAUAUUAUUGCAUUGCCGAGUAUUGUGACCUGAUCGUGUCCAUUUUCAGUUUAGAUGGUUUAGAUUCGGCUCGUCAUUAUACUUGUUGAAUGUCGCACCUGGUUAAUUCAAUAAAUACGCCAACACAUCGGCGAAAAACAAACAAACCCGUUACGGGUUCACGUGGGUGCAUUGAAGUCGGUGUACAUCAGUCGUGCCUAGGGUAAAUGAUACAAAUCGUAGUCGGUCGCCGAACAGCUCGCCGAGAUUCGCCAAUUCGAAUAACCGCGCGAGUGUUCAUUAUGGUAUCGCUAUAAAUAACACGCACUGCUCCCGACCGCCUUGCUAUUUUGCUUAUCGGUUUCGAAAUAGCGCGCAGUUUUACGGAUUGCGGCCGCACAGACCGCGAGUCUCGCGACGUUUUCCCGAUUGUUACGAGAAAACCGUACAAGGAGAAUCACCUUGUCAAUGGGCCAACUAAAGACGGCAUUUUCUACCGGAAACCAUCCACACCAAAGUUGACGAUCGGAGCAAGAUCUCCGGCGGAUAAGUUGUUUUCAGAAACAAAACAAAAAAAAAAUCAAAAAUUAUAAAUGUGUGCACAUCAUACGAGUAGUAAUAAUAAAACAAUCACCACGGUUCUGCGAAUCUAUAAGAAAAAAAAAAAUAAAUAAUAAUAAUACGUUCAAGGUUAACAUUUUUAAAAUAGACUAAAUAUGUGUGUUUCGGAACACCCAUAGGCGCAAACAGGGAACUAAUCCCCUCCCAGAAUUCCACUUAUC
Molecule: non-coding RNA, 1438 nt
Organism: Cinara cedri
Lineage: Eukaryota; Metazoa; Arthropoda; Insecta; Hemiptera; Aphididae
Source: the annotation of a GenBank genome assembly